UCAAGUUAUUAAGGGUGCAGGGCGGAUGCCUUGGCACUAGGAGCCGAUGAAGGACGUGAUAAGCUGCGAUAAGCUUCGGGGAGUUGCACGUAAACUUUGAUCCGAAGAUUUCCGAAUGAGGAAACUCACUUAGAGUAAUGUCUAAGUAUCAUUAAGUGAAUACAUAGCUUAAUGAGGGGAACUCAGGGAACUGAAACAUCUAAGUACCUGAAGGAAGAGAAAGAAAUUCGAUUCCGUAAGUAGCGGCGAGCGAACGCGGAUUAGCCCAAACCAAUAAAGUUUUCUUUAUUGGGGUUGCGGACAUAUCAUAACGAAGAGGUAUCGUAAUUGAAGAGGUUUGGAAAGACCCACCACAGAAGGUAAUAGUCCUGUAUGUUAAACGAGAAGACUUUAGAUAUGAUCCAGAGUACCACGGGACACGUGAAACCCUGUGGGAAGCAGGAGGGACCACCCUCCAAGGCUAAAUACUACCUAGUGACCGAUAGCGUAUAGUACCGUGAGGGAAAGGUGAAAAGAACCCCGGGAGGGGAGUGAAAUAGAACCUGAAACCCUGCACUUACAAGCUGUGGAAGCACAUUUCUUGUGUGACCGCGUACUUUUUGUAGAACGGGCCAACGAGUUACGUUAAGUAGCAAGGUUAAGCACUUAAGGUGCGGAGCCGUAGCGAAAGCGAGUUUUAACUGAGCGUUCAGUUACUUGACGUAGACCCGAAACCGGGCGACCUACCCAUGAGCAGGAUGAAGCGAAAGUAAAAUUUCGUGGAGGUCCGAACCCACGAGCGUUGAAAAGCUCGGGGAUGACUUGUGGAUAGCGGUGAAAUUCCAAUCGAGCCCGGAGAUAGCUGGUUCUCCCCGAAAUAGCUUUAGGGCUAGCCUCAAGGUGAGAGAUACGGAGGUAGAGCACUGAAUGUCCUAGGGGGUAUUGCACCUACCGAAGACUAUCAAACUCCGAAUGCCGUCAUCUUAUACUUGGGAGUCAGACUGUGGGUGAUAAGAUUCAUAGUCGAAAGGGCAACAGCCCAGAUCGUCAGCUAAGGUCCCUAAAUGUAAGUUAAGUGGUAAAGGAUGUGGGAUUGCACAGACAACCAGGAUGUUGGCUUAGAAGCAGCCACUCAUUCAAAGAGUGCGUAAUAGCUCACUGGUCGAGUGAUCCUGCGCCGAAGAUUUCCGGGGCUAAAACUUACUACCGAAGCUACGGCAUCAGUAAUGAUGGGUAGGGGAGCUUCCCAUACGGGUUGAAGCAUGACCGUAAGGACAUGUGGACAGUAUGGGAGUGAGAAUGUUGGCAUGAGUAGCGAGAUGUGGGUGAGAAUCCCACAGGCCGUAAACCCAAGGUUUCCAGGGGAAGGUUCGUCCGCCCUGGGUUAGUCGGGACCUAAGCUGAGGCUGAAAGGCGUAGGUGAUGGACAACAGGUUGAUAUUCCUGUACUACCGAUAACCGUUUGAGAGAAGGGAUGACACAGUAGGAUAAGCUAAGCACACUGUUGGUUAUGUGUGCCCAAGCAUUGAGGCAGUCAAAGUAGGCAAAUCCGCUUUGAUAAUGCUGGGAUGUGAUGGGGAGCGAAAUUUAGUAGCGAAGUAGCUGAUUUCACACUGUCAAGAAAAGUCUCUAUCGAGGUUAAAGGUACCCGUACCGCAAACCGACACAGGUGGGUGAGGAGAGUAUCCUAAGGCCAGCGAGAGAACUGUUGUUAAGGAACUCGGCAAAAUGACCCCGUAACUUAGGGAUAAGGGGUGCCACCAUCAGGUGGCCGCAGAGAAUAGGCCCAAGCGACUGUUUACCAAAAACAUAGGUUUCUGCUAAGUCGCAAGACGAUGUAUAGGAGCUGACGCCUGCCCGGUGCUGGAAGGUUAAGGGGAUUUGUUAGAGCAAUCGAAGCAGUGAACUUAAGCCCCAGUAAACGGCGGCCGUAACUAUAACGGUCCUAAGGUAGCGAAAUUCCUUGUCGGGUAAGUUCCGACCCGCACGAAAGGCGUAACGAUUUGGGCACUGUCUCAACAACAGACUCGGUGAAAUUGUAAUUCCGGUGAAGAUGCCGGAUACCUGCGACAGGACGGAAAGACCCCAUGGAGCUUUACUGUAGCUUGACAUUGGGUCUUGGUACUACAUGUACAGGAUAGGUGGGAGGCUUUGAAACCAGGACGCCAGUUUUGGCGGAGCCAUCCUUGGGAUACCACCCUUGUAGUACUGGGACUCUAACCAUAGGCCAUGAAUCUGGUCUUGGGACACUGUCAGGUGGGCAGUUUGACUGGGGCGGUCGCCUCCCAAAAGGUAACGGAGGCGCUCAAAGGUUCUCUCAGUACGGUCGGAAAUCGUACGUAGAGUGUAAAGGCAAAAGAGAGCUUGAUUGCAAGACAUACAGGUCGAGCAAGGAUGAAAAUCGGACUUAGUGAUCCGGUGGUUCUGCGUGGAAGGGCCAUCGCUCAACGGAUAAAAGCUACCCUGGGGAUAACAGGCUUAUCUCCCCCAAGAGUCCACAUCGACGGGGAGGUUUGGCACCUCGAUGUCGGCUCAUCACAUCCUGGGGCUGUAGUAGGUCCCAAGGGUUGGGCUGUUCGCCCAUUAAAGUGGUACGCGAGCUGGGUUCAGAACGUCGUGAGACAGUUCGGUCCCUAUCCGUCGCAGGCGUAGGAAAUUUGAGAAGACCUGUCCUUAGUACGAGAGGACCGGGAUGGACGUACCUCUGGUGUACCAGUUGUUCUGCCAAGGGCAUGGCUGGGUAGCUAUGUACGGAAUGGAUAAGCGCUGAAAGCAUCUAAGCGCGAAGCCAACUUCAAGAUAAGAUUUCCCACCGCAAGGGUAAGACCCCAGAAAGACUAUCUGGUUGAUAGGUCGAAGGUGUAAGUGCAGCAAUGUAUUUAGCUUAUCGAUACUAAUAGGUCGAGGACUUGACCAA
RNAcentral lists this ribosomal RNA (2896 nucleotides) under Clostridioides difficile. RNAcentral's name for it is "bacterial LSU rRNA". It matches the Rfam family "Bacterial large subunit ribosomal RNA". The record is from RNAcentral. Lineage: Bacteria; Bacillati; Bacillota; Clostridia; Peptostreptococcales; Peptostreptococcaceae.